This 512-nucleotide ribosomal RNA is filed under the name uncultured bacterium. Its description in RNAcentral is "partial 16S ribosomal RNA". It matches the Rfam family "Bacterial small subunit ribosomal RNA", at positions 28 to 507 of the family's 1533-position model. The record is from RNAcentral.
GAUGAACGCUGGCGGCGUGCCUAAUACAUGCAAGUCGAACGAAACUUCUUUAUCACCGAGUGCUUGCACUCACCGAUAAAGAGUUGAGUGGCGAACGGGUGAGUAACACGUGGGCAACCUGCCCAAAAGAGGGGGAUAACACUUGGAAACAGGUGCUAAUACCGCAUAACCAUAGUUACCGCAUGGUAACUAUGUAAAAGGUGGCUAUACUACCGCUUUUGGAUGGGCCCGCGGCGCAUUAGCUAGUUGGUAGGGUAAAGGCUUACCAAGGCAAUGAUGCGUAGCCGAAUUGAGAGGUUGAUCGGCCACAUUGGGACUGAGACACGGCCCAAACUCCUACGGGAGGCAGCAGUAGGGAAUCUUCCACAAUGGGCGAAAGCCUGAUGGAGCAACGCCGCGUGGGUGAAGAAGGUCUUCGGAUCGUAAAACCCUGUUGUUAGAGAAGAAAGUGCGUGAGAGUAACUGUUCACGUUUCGACGGUAUCUAACCAGAAAGCCACGGCUAACUAUGUG